RNAcentral lists this ribosomal RNA (1012 nucleotides) under uncultured Lactarius. RNAcentral describes it as "eukaryotic LSU rRNA". The stretch from base 830 to 1012 matches the Rfam family "Eukaryotic large subunit ribosomal RNA", at positions 1 to 169 of the family's 3401-position model. Lineage: Eukaryota; Fungi; Basidiomycota; Agaricomycetes; Russulales; Russulaceae. The record is from RNAcentral.
UUUUGAAAAAACUUGCGGUGGAGAACCAUCUCAAGGGAGCGUGUUGCCUGUUCUAAGAGGAGAUUAGACGCGCUGGUUCAAACCCCGUCUGUCUUGGUUGAACAAACACACGUGGUGUUGGGGGCCAAACCCCAUUUCCGGGAAUCGGAAUUCCGCGAAGUCCCCAGGGUAUCGUGCGCGCGCCCUUUGGCGUGUUUGUGUUCCAACCAUCGUGAACCCCCCCUGUGUGUUGUGAAUAAAGAACUGUCUUGCUGAGGAAAAUGUGAACCCUUCAAAUUGUUUGUUGCGCCCAGAUUCGAGUAAUCGGCCAUAUUCCAAAUUACAAACUUUUCAAACUACGGGAUCUCGAUUGGCUCUCGCAUCGAUGUGAAAGAACGCAGCGAAAUGCGAUUACGUAAUGGUGAAAUUGCAGAAUUCAAGUGAAUCACUCGAAGAUCUGUUGAACGCGACCUUGCGGCACCCAUUGGUAUUCCGAGGGGGCACACCCCGUUUGUGAAGCUGCUCGUGAAUAGAUCGUCUAUACCCUGUACUCGGUUUUCAUCUCCUGGGACACCCGAAGUGAGGCUUUGGCAACUUUUGGAGCGCGCUAUUGCUGGCGUCUCUGCUCUGUGUGUGACAAAGGCGCAGCUCCGUGCUCAAAUGAAAUUAGACGGGGUCCUCUUUGCCGACCCAUGCGACAUGGUGAUAAGAUGUUUCCAUUGUUCUUGGUUUAUGGUCUUCUGUUGCCUUUGGGGACCCCGUCUUACACAAUUCGUCUUCUCACUGGAGAGACAAUGUUCGACGCGCGUCUCCCCUUCCUCGGGAACACUCUCGAACCCACGAACCCUUGGACUCUCAAAUCGGGUGAGAUACCCGUCUGAACUUAAGCAUAUCAUAUAAGCGGAGGAAAAGAAACUAACCAAGGAUUCCCCUAGUAACUGCGAGUGAAGCCGGGAAAAGCCUCAAAUCUUAAAUUUCUGGCGUUUCUUCGCUGAUACCGUUGCCUUGUGUUUAUAUAGAAGAGAAGUCACGG